UAUAGCGGCUUUGUUUUUUUGACUCCUGUGACUCCAGCAGCCAGGCGUGGCGCCGACCGGCAUCUCUGGGGCCGUCCCUCAUCGGCAGAGGAAAACGUUCGGCAAAGACGAGUAGGAAAAUAACUUUUCGUUCAGAUUCUGAUGUGAACUGGAGUUGGGGGGGACCGGGAGGACUUGAUUCUAAGGGAAACUGCUGAGGAUCUGCACCCAUCGGUACUGCAGCCUGGUCAAUACCGUCGCUCCCAGCGAGGAGAAAGGAUUGCUGCUAUACACUGACCAAACUGCACCUGGAUGAAUUGCACUGUCACAGGUGGAGCAUUGAGGAAAUUUACUCUAGGAAGGGUGAAGACACUGAACUUUGCUCAUCUUCACUGGGGCUCCUUUAACUGUGUAGUGCAAUGCUCCCUUCUGGCCCUGGCCCCACUACAUGUUUGAAAACCAAACUCCAUCCCUGCCCUGCCAGCUCCUUCAGUCCACACCUUUCUGCAGUGAAACACAGUGAGGAGAGGUUUCCUCUCGCUCCCAUCUGGUAAACAGCUCCUGGCCUGGAGCCUUGGGAUGGAUCUGAUAGCCCUUGUAAUUUCCAUCCUGCCCAGCAAUAGUGACUGUUUUCUGGAAUAUCUCACAUAGCAUGGGGGAAGAGUAAUUCCAUUUAGAGAUUUGUGCUGAGAAUGAAGACAUUAAGAAAUGAGUCCUUUGCCACAAAUCACUCUUCUUCCCCCAGAGAACGAUGGUCAUCACACUGUGCUGGAGCCCCACGGUGUGAGGACGGCUCAUCUUCCAUGUUGGGGGUGCACCAGCCUUGUUAAUGUCAGUGAGAAAUGCUUGCAUUAAUAAUCCCAAAUGAUAUACUUGCUGUGCCAAAGCAAAAGGGAUGUUCUUUUGUGCUCAGAAACUUCAGCUGCCUGAGUUACUGUUGCAGAGAGUGUAUCCUUGUCAGCCUUAACGUUAAUUUAUGUUCCUGGGUUGGGCAUUUACAGGAAGUCAGCAGUGUUGGGAGGGGAUGAAUCAGCAGAAGCAGCAUUUUGGAAAGUAACCUCUGAAGCAGGUCUGGAAAUCAGCCUCCCUCGGGUUGUUAUGGACUCAGAAGGAUGUUCUGAUACACCGUGAUAUGAGGAUGGGGUAAAACUGUUCCUCUGGUUUGUGGGACUGGGAGGUUUCUGCUUGGCUCACGUGAUGGAGUGCCAGCAGUGAUGAGCAGUAUGCAUGAGGAGCAAAAGUGGCUGUAUUUGCAGCAUAGUGCAUCCACGGGACUGUGAAUACAGAAGCAAAAUAAUAAUAAUAAUAAUAAAAUAGAAUU
Gallus gallus (chicken) is the source of this 1300-nucleotide long non-coding RNA. NCBI's taxonomy places the organism in Eukaryota, Metazoa, Chordata, Aves, Galliformes, Phasianidae. The record is from Ensembl.